CUUAUAAAGAUUGCUUUUAUAGAAUUAAAAUUUGAUUAUGGUUUAAAAAAAGUUAAAAUGAUAUUAUUUAAGUUUAAUUUAUUUAGUGGGCAAUAAAAUUUUACCCCGGCAAUAAGUUAUUUGUAUAAUACUUGUUCCAGAAUAAUCGGCUAGGCUUGUAAAAUUUAUACUUUAUUUUGUUUUAAUUGUAAGCAUAAAAUUAAUUUUUUUAAUAAUCUUAGGUUAAAUUUUGAUUAUUGUAAGACUUAGUUUACAAUUUUAAGAUUUGAAAAUCGAAUUAGAUUAGUACCUAAUUAGUCAAAAAUUAAAAGAGCAGAAGUAAAGUUAAGUUUAAACUGAAAGAAUAUUGGCAGAUUUUCUAAAUUAUCUUUGGAGGUUGAGUAAUAAUUGAGAACCCUCAUUAACUACUUUUUAAUUUGGUCUCAUGUAUGAUCGUUUAUUUUAUGCUUAAGGUAUAUAAUAAAAAAUUUUAUUUAUAAAAAUAGAUAUAUAUUUGGUUUAUAAGAAAGUAAAAUUUGACCUACAAUAAGUUAGCUUGUGGAUUUGUAAUUUAGUAGUUAUAAUGAAAAUGUAAAAGACAGUAAAAGGAUUUUUAUGUUCUUUUGAAGAUUAUUUAGAUGUGGUACAAAUCAUCCAUCAAUUGCCUAUAGGGGAGUAAGUUGUAGUAAAGUAGAUUUAGGGGAACCUUAAUCUAGUAAUU
This 700-nucleotide non-coding RNA is filed under the name Chabertia ovina (large-mouth bowel worm). Lineage: Eukaryota; Metazoa; Nematoda; Chromadorea; Rhabditida; Strongylidae. The record is from RNAcentral.